Molecule: microRNA precursor, 179 nt
Filed under: Medicago truncatula (barrel medic)
Lineage: Eukaryota; Viridiplantae; Streptophyta; Magnoliopsida; Fabales; Fabaceae
Description: MIR2619 microRNA precursor family
Rfam family: MIR2619 microRNA precursor family
Source: Rfam by way of RNAcentral
AAACCGCCCCCUAAGUUUUGCAACUGUAGCAAUUUUGGCCCCCCAAGGCCAAUUUUUGGUAAAAAAAAAUAAAAAAUAACACGUGGCACCUCACUUAGGGUGCCACGUCAGCGAAGACCGAGUCAAAAUUGGCCUUGGGGGCCAAAACAGCCACAUAUGCAAAACUUAGCGGGCGAUUU